Molecule: ribosomal RNA, 490 nt
Filed under: uncultured bacterium
Lineage: Bacteria
Description: partial 16S ribosomal RNA
Rfam family: Bacterial small subunit ribosomal RNA
Source: RNAcentral
AUUGAACGCUGGCGGCAGGCCUAACACAUGCAAGUCGAACGGUAACAGGAAGCAGCUUGCUGCUUCGCUGACGAGUGGCGGACGGGUGAGUAAUGUCUGGGAAACUGCCUGAUGGAGGGGGAUAACUACUGGAAACGGUAGCUAAUACCGCAUAACGUCGCUAGACCAAAGAGGGGGACCUUAGGGCCUCUUGCCAUCGGAUGUGCCCAGAUGGGAUUAGCUAGUAGGUGGGGUAACGGCUCACCUAGGCGACGAUCCCUAGCUGGUCUGAGAGGAUGACCAGCCACACUGGAACUGAGACACGGUCCAGACUCCUACGGGAGGCAGCAGUGGGGAAUAUUGCACAAUGGGCGCAAGCCUGAUGCAGCCAUGCCGCGUGUAUGAAGAAGGCCUUCGGGUUGUAAAGUACUUUCAGCGGGGAGGAAGGGAGUAAAGUUAAUACCUUUGCUCAUUGACGUUACCCGCAGAAGAAGCACCGGCUAACUCCGUG